Molecule: long non-coding RNA, 642 nt
Filed under: Erythranthe guttata (spotted monkey flower)
Lineage: Eukaryota; Viridiplantae; Streptophyta; Magnoliopsida; Lamiales; Phrymaceae
Description: long non-coding RNA (EGUT_LNC003098)
Source: RNAcentral
GGGAUAUUAAUUCAAUAUCACCUAAUCCAAUGUAAUCCAAUAUAGGUAAGCAAACGAGGCCUAAAGUGAUUAUAAAAAUAUUACUUUGAUUGAUUAUAAAAAAAGAAAUUGUGAUUAAUUUGAGGCUCAGAUCUGUAAACUGGGGGCAAGAGAACCCGACCACGCCAUGGCUGCAAGAAAAAAAAAUCACCGGUUGCAAAUCACAUGCCAUCCGGGCUGCCCCGCCAAGAUACGGGCCGGGUUUCUCGAAGCCCCAUAUUGUAGGCUCAGAGGAAUUGCUAGAAAAAAAUAAUCAUCACAGCCUCUUUCUUUUCGAGAACAACACAACAACAACAACAAUUUUGCACCAGAAAAAAACAAAAACAAGAAGAAAAAGAUGCAUGAUUCUGUUAGAGAGCGCUAGCUGUACACGCAGUUGGAGAGAGGAUGGAUUAUGACCGUCGGAUUGAAACCGAGAUUAUAUCUAUCAUCUAUCCAUCUCUCUAUACAUACACACAUAUGUUAAAGGGCUGUUUGGUUGGAUAAUUUAGAAAAAUAAUCAUGGGGUUAGAGGAAGGGGUAACCACCCUUUGAAAAAAUCCAAAUCCUCCCUCUACCCUUCAGAUCUUUUUCCUCUGAGCAUCAAUAAUCCUUCCAGCAGAC